RNAcentral lists this ribosomal RNA (494 nucleotides) under uncultured bacterium. RNAcentral's name for it is "partial 16S ribosomal RNA". It matches the Rfam family "Bacterial small subunit ribosomal RNA", at positions 28 to 507 of the family's 1533-position model. The record is from RNAcentral.
GACGAACGCUGGCGGCGUGCUUAACACAUGCAAGUCGAACGGUGAAGCGCCUUCCUUUUUGGUUGGUGUGGAUGAGUGGCGAACGGGUGAGUAACACGUGUGUAACCUGCCCCCUUCUUCUGGAUAACCGCAUGAAAGUGUGGCUAAUACGGGAUAUUCUGGGUCUGUCGCAUGAUGGGUCUGGGAAAGAUAUUGUUUCGGUGGGGGAUGGGCUCGCGGCCUAUCAGCUUGUUGGUGGGGUGAUGGCCUACCAAGGCGGUGACGGGUAGCCGGCCUGAGAGGGUGGACGGUCACACUGGGGCGGAGACACGGACCAGACUCCGACGGGAGGCAGCAGUGGGGAAUAUUGCACAAUGGGCGCAAGCCUGAUGCAGCGACGCCGCGUGAGGGAUGGAGGCCUUCGGGUUGUGAACCUCUUUCGCCAGUGAAGCAGGCCUGCCUCGUUUGUGGGUGGGUUGACGGUAGCUGGAUAAGAAGCGCCGGCUAACUACGUG